UACAGAGGUCUCAAGCGUUGUUCGGAUUCAUUGGGCGUAAAGGGUGCGUAGGCGGCGUGGUAAGUCGGAUGUGAAAUCUCGGAGCUUAACUCCGAAACUGCAUUCGAUACUGCCGUGCUUGAGGACUGGAGAGGAGACUGGAAUUUACGGUGUAGCGGUGAAAUGCGUAGAUAUCGGGAGGAACACCAGUAGCGAAGGCGGCACUCUGGGCCGGUACUGACGCUGAGGAGCGAAAGCGUGGGGAGCGAACAGG
This 253-nucleotide ribosomal RNA is filed under the name uncultured bacterium. RNAcentral's name for it is "partial 16S ribosomal RNA". It matches the Rfam family "Bacterial small subunit ribosomal RNA", at positions 524 to 776 of the family's 1533-position model. The record is from RNAcentral.